This 292-nucleotide long non-coding RNA is filed under the name Nicotiana benthamiana. RNAcentral's name for it is "long non-coding RNA (NBEN_LNC019765)". The record is from RNAcentral. Lineage: Eukaryota; Viridiplantae; Streptophyta; Magnoliopsida; Solanales; Solanaceae.
AGCGCUUUUAGUCAAGCAAGACUACAAAUAGGUGAUCACAGAGCGUCGAUGCAGGACAGCUUGGAAAAAUGAGUGCUUUUUCGAGAUUGGAUCCGCGCAGAAAGAAGGAACUUUGGGCUAGCUGAAUCACAACCAGAAAUAGAUGAGUGCUUUGAAGAAAUGCUAGCAGAACUUGCUCAGGAAACAUUUUCACCCGGAAGUGGUGAUGAACAAGCUUCAUUUCCAUCACCGUCAACACAACCACCUCCAAACCUUGAAGGUUUUAUGAGAUUUGUUAGAAAUAAUACAUNNN